UACGGGGGGGGCAAGCGUUGUUCGGAAUUACUGGGCGUAAAGGGCGCGUAGGCGGCCUGCUAAGUCACACGUGAAAUCCCUCGGCUCAACCGGGGAACUGCGUGUGAUACUGGCGGGCUUGAAUUCGGGAGAGGGAUGUGGAAUUCCAGGUGUAGCGGUGAAAUGCGUAGAUAUCAAGAGGAACACCUGAGGUGAAGACGGGUUGCUGGGCCAACACUGACGCUGAGGCGCGAAAGCCAGGGGAGCAAACGGG
Molecule: ribosomal RNA, 253 nt
Filed under: uncultured bacterium
Lineage: Bacteria
Description: partial 16S ribosomal RNA
Rfam family: Bacterial small subunit ribosomal RNA
Source: RNAcentral